Molecule: long non-coding RNA, 587 nt
Organism: Myotis brandtii (Brandt's bat)
Lineage: Eukaryota; Metazoa; Chordata; Mammalia; Chiroptera; Vespertilionidae
Exons: 2
Source: RefSeq, a predicted model, not a curated record
GGCCCUCUCACCCCGAGGGAAGGGGGCGGCCUGACCGCUGCCCGGGGUGGCGGGUGUCAUUAGGGUUCCUGCCCAGCUCCACUCGACAACGCGUCCUGGACUUCGCCCUCUCGGCCGAUCUUGCGAUGGGGCAGUGACGGCACAGCUGGGAUCCCCGUGCCGGACCCGGGCACGAACGGGGCCGCCUCCGGAACUGCCUUUCCCUGUCACGACCCUGCUGGGUCCCCGACCAUUGCCCAGGGUCUUCGGGUGCCCAGCCGUCGCCUUUCCCACCUUUUUCAUUUGGAGAUGCCCUUGCCAUUGUCUUCUCCGCCUAGCAAGCUUCUCACUGUCCAAGGCUGUUCGGAGAUCACUUCCCUGGAGAAGGCCCCCGGGAACCCCGAGGCUCCAAGCACCGGACCCGGGCAGCUCCGGACCCCCCUCCCCUCUUCGAUGACACAAGCGGUGGUUACUCCAUCCAGCCAGGGGGAUACCCAGCCCCAGGAGCCGACGUGGCCUUCAAUGUCAACCACUUGCUUGGGGACCCAGUGGCCAACGUGGCUAUGGCCUAUGGCAGCUCCAUCGCAUCCCAUGGGAAGGACAUUGUG